UACGUAGGCGGCGAGCGUUGUUCGGAGUUACUGGGCGUAAAGCGUGCGCAGGCGGUUGUGUAAGACAGAUGUGAAAUCCCCGGGCUCAACCUGGGAACUGCAUUUGUGACUGCACGGCUGGAGUGCGGCAGAGGGGGAUGGAAUUCCGCGUGUAGCAGUGAAAUGCGUAGAUAUGCGGAGGAACACCGAUGGCGAAGGCAAUCCCCUGGGCCUGCACUGACGCUCAUGCACGAAAGCGUGGGGAGCAAACAGG
Molecule: ribosomal RNA, 253 nt
Filed under: uncultured bacterium
Lineage: Bacteria
Description: partial 16S ribosomal RNA
Rfam family: Bacterial small subunit ribosomal RNA
Source: RNAcentral